GCUGGUGUAGCUCAGUUAGGUAGAGCAGCUGAUUUGUAAUCAGCAGGUCGGGGGUUCAAGUCCGUCCACCAGCUCCA
Molecule: transfer RNA, 77 nt
Filed under: Oscillospiraceae bacterium
Lineage: Bacteria; Bacillati; Bacillota; Clostridia; Eubacteriales; Oscillospiraceae
Description: tRNA-Thr
Rfam family: tRNA
About the family: Transfer RNA (tRNA) molecules are approximately 80 nucleotides in length. Their secondary structure includes four short double-helical elements and three loops (D, anti-codon, and T loops). Further hydrogen bonds mediate the characteristic L-shaped molecular structure. tRNAs have two regions of fundamental functional importance: the anti-codon, which is responsible for specific mRNA codon recognition, and the 3' end, to which the tRNAs corresponding amino acid is attached (by aminoacyl-tRNA synthetases). tRNAs cope with the degeneracy of the genetic code in two manners: having more than one tRNA (with a specific anti-codon) for a particular amino acid; and 'wobble' base-pairing, i.e. permitting non-standard base-pairing at the 3rd anti-codon position.
Source: RNAcentral